AUGACUAGGGAUAACCUUAGGAAGAGACACAUCAUCAAACCCCUUGAUUGUGUUUACUGCUUGGAACAAGAGUCUUGUUCUCACCUAUUUUUUGAAUGUAUAGUUGCUAAACAUCUCUGGGCCCACAUUGAGGAAUAUUUCUCUAGUCAGAUUGGUUCAUCCUUCGAAUCUGUCGCCAGAUUCUGGAUUGCUACCAAAAAGUGCUCAGUUUUAAACACUGUUAGCUCAGCUGUCCUUUGGUGCCUCUGGAAAUAUAGAAAUGCUAUGAUUUUUAGUAACACCUCCUGGAUUUCCAUUCUGCAGGUCUUGAGGUUGAUCAGGAACAUGGUGAGGAACUGGGCGAUUCUCUCCUCCGGAUCGGACAAGGACAAGUUGAUGAGCUUCGUGGAAACCCUAACAAGAUCCCUCCAGAAACCGUUGCCGAUCACUUGUGGCUGA
Molecule: ribosomal RNA, 438 nt
Filed under: Triticum aestivum (bread wheat)
Lineage: Eukaryota; Viridiplantae; Streptophyta; Magnoliopsida; Poales; Poaceae
Description: partial small subunit ribosomal RNA
Source: RNAcentral